RNAcentral lists this transfer RNA (74 nucleotides) under Gracilaria cliftonii. RNAcentral's name for it is "tRNA-Ile". It matches the Rfam family "tRNA". From Rfam's summary of the family: Transfer RNA (tRNA) molecules are approximately 80 nucleotides in length. The record is from RNAcentral. Lineage: Eukaryota; Rhodophyta; Florideophyceae; Gracilariales; Gracilariaceae.
GGGCUAUUAGCUCAGUCGGUUAGAGCACACCCCUGAUAAGGGUGAGGUCCCUGGUUCAAGUCCAGGAUAGCCCA